GAGCAUGCAAGAUGGGGUGGUUCUCCUGGAAGUUCCUGAAACUGUUAGGUCAAAUGAUGAGGAUAUAGUCCCUGGGGAGUUGUAUUCAAAUGAACAGAUUCCUGAUCAUGUUAAAUCAGACAUGCUUGAUGGAGAGACUCCAUUGAGAACUUCCAGGGCUCUAAGCUUGAGGGAUGGAUCAGAAAAUGUCGACUCUGUAAAUGCACCUUCAUCUGAAGAACAAAUGCAAACUUUUAAUGGAGCUACAUUAAAGGUGUCUGCUCGAAACCUUCCGAUUGAAGUGCGUGAGAAUGUCAAUUCUAGUGGGAGCCUGGAGAACAUGGGAGCGCCUGAAAUUGCUUCUAGUGAAGCCAUUGAUGAUGGCAACAUUAUUCUUAGAGAGAAAGAUGAAGUUCAUGAUGUGACCUUUGAUAAUGCUGCUGGAGUUGAUCAGCAGGAUGGAGUGGUUGGUAUUGUUAAUCAAGAUCCAUACUCUAAUGCAACUGCUGGGGACCUGAAAAAUGGGAACGUUUCAUUAGGACUGCCAGAAAGUGGUUCCAAUAAAGUAGUGGGUGAUAA
RNAcentral lists this unclassified non-coding RNA (558 nucleotides) under Hevea brasiliensis (rubber tree). Lineage: Eukaryota; Viridiplantae; Streptophyta; Magnoliopsida; Malpighiales; Euphorbiaceae. The record is from RNAcentral.